CCUCAUGAUCCAGACAACAGAGGGAGAACUCAGAAGUUGUCCAGAAAGGAGCCAUUUUUCCAAGAGACACAUGAUUUUGUGCGGGUUGAGUUCCUAGUUUUAGUGCCAGAAAAACAAAAAUUUUUAAAGGUGAAGACUCACCUUGCUGACGUGAGAUUUUCCUUGUGCUAAAAGUCCUGAUCUUCAUUCUUUUAUGGUUUGGCAGGGCUGAUCUUACCGUUAGAGGAAAGAGUGUCUCAUGGUUGCAGGAGCUGAGCCAAAAACUCCACUGACCAAACCCAACACUGCUCUUCCCCAGGCACGAUGCCUGCAUUCCACGUUUACAGAGAGUUCUCACUGUGGGUUCCACUGAUGAGUCUAGGAGCGCCCUGUUGAAAUUCAAAGUUAUCAAGUGGGGUGGGUGUGGGGAAGGAAGAGGGCAUCAAACAAUUCUCAGACAUCACUACUUGAGACAUUAGGUUAACAGAUAAUAUCCUAGAAUUUAUCUGCCAGGGUUCUAAGGUGUUAACCUCAGAACCCGUAGCUUUACUGGGAUAGGGAGCACAGAGAGGAGUUACAGAAGGCUUGUGUCAGAGGAUGCAUCUUGAUCAGAUGACAUAUUCCAUCAGGGACACCAGAACCUUUGAGGACAUCAGAGUCAGAGCUGUGUCCAUGAUGACUCAGUGGACUCAGCAGCAUGGCAUGCAUGGUGGGACUCCUCAUGGUCACCCUGUGGAACUAGAAGAGACAUGGUCUAGAGCACUGGAAGUUCAGCUCCAGGAGGGCGGGGCUUUUUCCAGUUUGUUUGCCGCUCUGCCUGCAAUACCAGGAACAAGGCUUAGCGCAUGUGCACAAAUACAGUUGUCCUUGUGACGUGUCCACUUGAAUGACCUCAGAGAUCUCAACACUCACAAACGAAACUGGGUCUCUUGAUUCCUCUGCCAACCCCCCCUGAAACUUGUUCCACUCUGGACCUCUCCAGCUGAGACCAGGAUGCUGAUAUCCACACAGCUGCCAAGCCAGAAACCUCAUUUAAGCAUUUUUAUUCAAAUAUAGUCUACAGAGCAUAAAAAGCGUAAAAUGGAUGCAUCUGAAGCAUACAGUUCAAGAAAUUUCUACUUAUGAAUACACUUGCGAUCAUUUUCAAGAUGCCAGAAGUUUUCCUUGUGACCUUCUGAGAGUCACUGAUUCCUCCUUUUCCAUAUCUGAAUCUUCACCAAGUCCUGACUGUUGUUCCUCCAAAAUUUUCCUUGAACUUUUUCACUUUUCUCCACCACAAUCAUCAAUCUCUAAUAACUUCUCUCCUCACUUCCACCUUUACCAGUUCCUUACCUCUACUGAACGAUCUUUAAGAAAUCAUCACCCUGAUCAUUGCACUUCCCUUCCUCAUCAACUUCCCUUUACACUUAGAGUAAAAUGGAAACUCUUUCUUGAGUCUUACAGUGAAUGCCCUUCAAAAGUAGUCCCUUGAAACCCUCCAACCUCUGCCUCACUCUGUUCCAAACAUCCUAAUCCCUCUUCCUCUUCCAGUUCCUGGAAAAUGCCCUGGGGCCUUUUGCAUGUGCUGUUCCUUUGGUAUGAAUGAUUUUCCUCUUCUUUCUUCCUCACUCCCACCCUACUUCCACUCCACACUCAUACCCUUAGGGGUACAUUAUCUUCACAUGGUUAGUUCCUUCUCAUCCUUCUUUCUCAGAUUAAAUAUCACCUGGCCAUAAAGAUUUUUCCUGCCCCAAAUCUAAAGCACAGCUCCCCAGUUACUCUCAGAGAGUUAUGUCUUUUUCCUUUACAGCAAUUUGCGAUUUAUGUAUUUAGGAGUUGCUUUUGGUUGUGUAUUGUCUAACUUCCCUGCUAACGGAAGCUCUUAGGUAAGCUCCAAGGAUAUUAUUUCAUUCCCUCCUGCUAGCAGCUAACAAUGCAGCUGGCAUACAGUAAAAGUAUUUAGAAAAUAAUUGCUAAAUGAAUGAAUAAAUCAAUGAGUGUG
This is a long non-coding RNA of Equus quagga, 1960 nucleotides long. RefSeq lists it as uncharacterized. The record is from RefSeq and is a predicted model, not a curated record. The transcript is spliced from 3 exons. Lineage: Eukaryota; Metazoa; Chordata; Mammalia; Perissodactyla; Equidae.